UGACUUGUGUAAGCGUUGUGCCUGCUAGC
Molecule: small RNA, 29 nt
Filed under: Bombyx mori (domestic silkworm)
Lineage: Eukaryota; Metazoa; Arthropoda; Insecta; Lepidoptera; Bombycidae
Description: ovarian small RNA-32075
Source: RNAcentral